UUUUAAAGUGAUGUUUUGUCGGAAUUUCUCCUAAGCAAAUGAAAGUUAACGGAAAAGCCCGUCGCCAGCUCAAACUCUGGCUAUGGCCGCUAGGUGUCCUAGACAGCUAUAAAGAAAAGCAGAAGACAUAAAUGGUCCAAUUUUGGCUAGAAAGUCUGACAAGCAUCAUCGAAAACAAGCAUGGGUACGUUGAAAUUUUAACUUUUUUGAAGGCAAUGGAAGUGUCAGGAAGUGUGUAGGAAUUGCAAACAAUUGCAAUGUAUUAUUUAAUGUGUAUCGUUUUCAGAAUAAUCCAGCAAAUCCAGGGUUAAUACCACACUGCAAUCAAAAUCAGGAUGAAAAUUGCUUCUUAAAGUGGGUUGGAUCUUGUUGCGAAGCUUGGCACAAUACUAGUCACUAUGCUCGGUGACUUCAUUUUAUUGGGUCAGGUCUGGUAUAUUCUGGCCAUCAUUUUCCAAAGUUGUUUUAUUAAUAGUCAAGUCAAUAGUCUGCAUAAACAAUUUCUCUUUCAAAUUGACCAACAUGCCCUCAAACAUGCAGCAGUGUCCUGAUAUCUGGUCAUCAAGAUGUUCUGAAAUAGACAAUUUUCAGGAUACUUCUGCGAGGACGGGGCACGAAAUUCUCGAGCACACCGUUGGAAACAAUCAUCGGGAGUGCGAAAUAGGUUCGCUUCUACAGUAGGAGGGUAAGCGGACGGAGAGGAAAUACACAAGAUAAAAAUGAAAACUACAAUAAAUGCCUCAGGGACAUUAAGUGUCAGUUUCAGUUGCCUUGUCAAG
Long non-coding RNA from Daphnia pulicaria, 779 nucleotides. RefSeq lists it as uncharacterized. Lineage: Eukaryota; Metazoa; Arthropoda; Branchiopoda; Diplostraca; Daphniidae. The transcript has 4 exons. The record is from RefSeq and is a predicted model, not a curated record.